UUUAAAGAGAGUUUGAUCCUGGCUCAGGACGAACGCUGGCGGCGUGCCUAAUACAUGCAAGUCGAACGAACGGAGGAAGAGCUUGCUCUUCCAAAGUUAGUGGCGGACGGGUGAGUAACACGUGGGCAACCUGCCUGUAAGUUGGGGAUAACUCCGGGAAACCGGGGCUAAUACCGAAUGAUAAAGUGUGGCGCAUGCCACGCUUUUGAAAGAUGGUUUCGGCUAUCGCUUACAGAUGGGCCCGCGGUGCAUUAGCUAGUUGGUAGGGUAAUGGCCUACCAAGGCAACGAUGCAUAGCCGACCUGAGAGGGUGAUCGGCCACACUGGGACUGAGACACGGCCCAGACUCCUACGGGAGGCAGCAGUAGGGAAUCUUCCGCAAUGGACGAAAGUCUGACGGAGCAACGCCGCGUGUAUGAAGAAGGUUUUCGGAUCGUAAAGUACUGU
RNAcentral lists this ribosomal RNA (447 nucleotides) under Listeria monocytogenes. RNAcentral's name for it is "bacterial SSU rRNA". It matches the Rfam family "Bacterial small subunit ribosomal RNA", at positions 1 to 436 of the family's 1533-position model. The record is from RNAcentral. Lineage: Bacteria; Bacillati; Bacillota; Bacilli; Caryophanales; Listeriaceae.